UGGGGAAUAUUGCACAAUGGGCGCAAGCCUGAUGCAGCGACGCCGCGUGGGGGAUGAAGGCCUUCGGGUUGUAAACUUCUUUCGCUAGGGACGAAGCCUAUGGUGACGGUACCUGGAGAAGAAGCACCGGCUAACUACGUGCCAGCAGCCGCGGUAAGACGCAGGGUGCGAGCGUUGUCCGGAAUUACUGGGCGUAAAGAGCCGGUAGGUGGGUUGUGGCGUCGUCGGUGAAAUCACGGGGCUUAACUUGAGGCGUGCAGGCGAUCCGUGCCUGACCUGCGUGCGGUGGUGGGGACUGGGCUUCAUGGUGUAGCGGUGAAAUGCGCGGAUAACAUGAUAGACACCAAAGGCGAAGGCAGGUCUCUGUGCAGUACCUUACGCUGAGUAGCGAAAGCAUGGGUGGCGAACAAG
RNAcentral lists this ribosomal RNA (411 nucleotides) under bacterium. RNAcentral describes it as "partial 16S ribosomal RNA". It matches the Rfam family "Bacterial small subunit ribosomal RNA", at positions 355 to 776 of the family's 1533-position model. The record is from RNAcentral.